RNAcentral lists this long non-coding RNA (356 nucleotides) under Sorghum bicolor (sorghum). RNAcentral's name for it is "long non-coding RNA (SBIC_LNC016843)". Lineage: Eukaryota; Viridiplantae; Streptophyta; Magnoliopsida; Poales; Poaceae. The record is from RNAcentral.
GGGGUUGAUAAUUUCUUAAGUCACCUUUUGUUGUUGUACUCUUACAAAAAGCUAUUGCAAAUAUCAUUAAUUUGAAUUGGCUACUUAGCUCUGCAAUGGUUGUGGCCUGGUCCUCUUUUCUAAAACUUCAUCUUCCAAUCUUAUGAGCAAUUUGUCUUGUAAAGGCGUACUUCAGUCCUCAAAAUGAAUACAGAACCAUUGGUGGUAGUGUCACUAAUAAUUGGAAGAAAUGACACGUCAAAACAACACAAUAUGACAACUGCAUAACAGACACGGGAAAACAUGUCAUCACUUCUGUUACGUCUCUAAUGUAAGCACACCAGUGACACAUAAAAUAAACAUGUCGCUAAUGAACC